GUAAUAUAUCGGAACGUGCCCAGUCGUGGGGGAUAACGUAGCGAAAGUUACGCUAAUACCGCAUACGAUCUAUGGAUGAAAGCGGGGGACCGUAAGGCCUCGCGCGAUUGGAGCGGCCGAUAUCAGAUUAGGUAGUUGGUGGGGUAAAGGCUCACCAAGCCAACGAUCUGUAGCUGGUCUGAGAGGACGACCAGCCACACUGGAACUGAGACACGGUCCAGACUCCUACGGGAGGCAGCAGUGGGGAAUUUUGGACAAUGGACGCAAGUCUGAUCCAGCCAUUCCGCGUGCAGGAUGAAGGCCCUCGGGUUGUAAACUGCUUUUGUACGGAACGAAAAGGUCUCUAUUAAUACUAGGGGCUCAUGACGGUACCGUAAGAAUAAGCACCGGCUAACUACGUGCCAGCAGCCGCGGUAAUACGUAGGGUGCAAGCGUUAAUCGGAAUUACUGGGCGUAAAGCGUGCGCAGGCGGUUAUGUAAGACAGAGGUGAAAUCCCUGGGCUCAACCUGGGAACUGCCUUUGUGACUGCAUAGCUAGAGUACGGUAGAGGGGAAUGGAAUUCCGCGUGUAGCAGUGAAAUGCGUAGAUAUGCGGAGGAACACCGAUGGCGAAGGCAAUCCCCUGGACCUGUACUGACGCUCAUGCA
This 647-nucleotide ribosomal RNA is filed under the name uncultured bacterium. RNAcentral describes it as "bacterial SSU rRNA". It matches the Rfam family "Bacterial small subunit ribosomal RNA", at positions 110 to 753 of the family's 1533-position model. The record is from RNAcentral.